Long non-coding RNA from Loxodonta africana (African savanna elephant), 2731 nucleotides. RefSeq lists it as uncharacterized. The record is from RefSeq and is a predicted model, not a curated record. NCBI's taxonomy places the organism in Eukaryota, Metazoa, Chordata, Mammalia, Proboscidea, Elephantidae. The transcript is spliced from 3 exons.
AUUACUUAGCCUUUAACCAGUAUUACUUUCUAAAUUUUCAUAAAAAUUGAUGCAGUGUUUUUUUCAAAUACAGAUUUUUAAUUUUUCACACAGGUGAUAUAAUGGUUUUAUGAUACUUUGAUGGAAUUUGAUUUUAAAUAAAUAAUGAUAUUUUAAUUUAUGAGCUUCUUUAUCCUCAAUAACUUAUUGCUUUUCAUGACUCCAAAAAAUAAUAUUUUGUUAAAACCAGGAUAUCUAAAAAAAAGGACUUACUCUACUCUGGACCCUUGCGUAAAGCCUAAAGUAAAUCUAGAUCAGAACUAGAUUCUUCAGUUGCCGGUGACCACUAACCCUCACCUUACUCCCAUCCCCCACAGCCCGGUUUGUGUGCAGGAGCCAUCUUGUCAUUAUUUCCACCAUAUAUUGAAUUCUGAAAGCACAGUUACCCUAAAACACAGUUCAUGAAAUCACUCAGCUGCAGAGACGAGUAAUCAAGGAGUAAUCUACUCAGAUAUCAACCCGGCCAAAUACCCAAAGAGGCAGCAAUUCAAACCUGAGAGCAAAAAUAGCUCCAUUUCAGACACUGAGCAGGACAUAACCUACGUGGAAUUAAACCUUCAUAAUGCGUCUCAGGAUCUUCAAGGAAAUGACAAGAAACCCCAUUGCAAAGUUUUCCCAUCACCUCCAGGGAGGCUCGCUGCUAUGACACUGGGAAUCAUCUGCUUUGUCCUGAUGGCCAGUGUACUAACCAUGACAGUCGCAGUUGUCACUCCCCAUAAGUUUUUGAAAGGACAUUGUCAUCGUUGUCCAAAGGCCUGGUUUAUCUAUUCCAACAACUGUUAUUACAUUAGUAAUGAAAGAAAAUCAUGGAGUGAGAGUCGGAUGGCCUGUGCUUCUAAUGCAUCUAAUCUGCUUCACAGAGAUAAUGAAGAAGACAUGGUAAGAUUUUUAAGUUAUUCAAACAUUUUAUUGAGAGCUUAUUUCAGUCAAUAUUAUGUUUGUAGGAUUCAUGCACAUUUUAGUAUAUAGUUGUAGUUUAAUUUCAAGGCUGUUUAAUAUUCCUUUAAUUAAUUUUACAAUAUUUUAUUUAUAUUAUUAGGCUAUUAAUGCACAUUUGCUUAUUUAGUCCUCUUUCUUAUGAAAAACACUUGUGUAAAUGCUUUUCUUCUAAAAUAAACUUUGUUAUUUUUACCUUAUCAUAUGUAAAAAAAUAAAUAAAAUAAACAUAUAAUUGUGCAGACUGAUCAGAAAUACAACCUUUUGCCAUCAAGUUGGUUCCAAUUCAUAGUUACCCUAGAACCUACCUCUACGGUUUCCAAGGCUGUAAAUCUUUAUGGAAGCUGAUUGCCACAUCAUUUCUCCCACAGAGUAGGCUGGUGGGUUCUAACUGCUGAUCUUUUGAUUAUAAGCCUAGAGCUUAACCUCUGUGCCACAAGGGCUCCUAGAAGGUGAAUGACCUAUGUAUUUAAAAAAUACCUGGUCCCUUAGUAAAGUGCCCUGGUGGUGCAGUGUUUAAGCACUCCACUACUAUCCAAAUAAUCAACAAUUCAGCCUUACUCUGAAAGAAAGGCCUAGCAGUCUAUCUGUAUGUGAACCACAGUCUCCACCAGCCUGAGCCCAGAAGAACUAAAUGGUGCCCAGCUACCACCACCAACUGCUCUGAAAGGGAUCGCAAUAGAGGGUUCUGAACAGAGCAGGACAAAAAUGUAGAACAAAAUUCAAAUUCACAGAAAAAGACCAGACUCACUGGUCUGAGAGAGACUGGAGGAACCUCUGAGACUGUGGCCCCAGGACAUAGUGCUAACUCAGAACUAAAGCCACUCCCGAAGUCCACCUUUCAGCUAAAGAUUAACCCGUUGCCGUUGAGUUGGUUGCGACUCAUAAGAACCCUAUAAAACAAACAGCACAAGUGAGGAAUGUGCUUCUUAGUUCAAUCAAGUAUACGAGACCAUAUGGACACCACUUGCCCAAAGGCAAAGACUAGAAGGCAAGAAGGAACAGGAAACCUGGACAAAUGAACACAGGGUACUCAGGGUUUAAAGAGAAAGGGGAAGAGUGCUGACACAUUGCUGGGAUUGCAACCAAUGUCACAAAACAAUUUGUGUAUGAAUUUUUUAAUGAAAAGCUAAUUUGUGCUGUAAACAUUCAUUUAAAACACAAUAAAAUUAAAAAUAAUAAUUAAAAAAAAGAAAAGAAAAGAUUGGAGACAGCCAAGAAAGCCUGUGGAGCUCAGUUGUAGUCUGUAAAACGUGAGGUUGCCAUGAGUCAGAAUCAAUUCUAUGACAACAAAUUUGUUUUUUUUUUUGUUUUGUUUAUUUACAAAUAAGUUUUAGAAAUAGUCUUUCUUGCCCCUUAGUAGCCCUGUCCCUGUGUCUGCUCUCAAUACUUUUCUCUCCUCCCUAAAGCACUAUUAUGAUUUUUAGUAUAAUAGAUUAGGUUUGAUUGUUUUUGAAUUUUGUAUAAAUGAAAUCAUACAAUAUGCAUUUUCUUUUUGGUCUGUUUCAUUUCACUCAUGUAAGACAUUCAUGUAAUCCAUCUAUAUUGUUGAAGUUAACUGUAGUUUGCUAAUUUUUAGUGGUAAUUUUUUUUUAUUAUGUGAAUAUAAUAUUUUGUAAUCCAUUUUACCAUGUAUAUGGAAUUUGGAUUACCUCUAGCACUUGCGUGUUAUGAAUAAUUAAUUAUUCUUUGUACAUCCUUGUGUAUGUAUUUUAUCCUGUGGGCUUUUAUCCUCACCUCUCACCUGCCGUCUAAU